RNAcentral lists this ribosomal RNA (497 nucleotides) under uncultured bacterium. RNAcentral describes it as "partial 16S ribosomal RNA". It matches the Rfam family "Bacterial small subunit ribosomal RNA", at positions 28 to 507 of the family's 1533-position model. The record is from RNAcentral.
GAUGGACGCUGGCGGCGUGCCUAAUACAUGCAAGUCGAGCGAACAGAUGAGGAGCUUGCUCCUCUGACGUUAGCGGCGGACGGGUGAGUAACACGUGGAUAACCUACCUAUAAGACUGGGAUAACUUCGGGAAACCGGAGCUAAUACCGGAUAAUAUAUUGAACCGCAUGGUUCAAUAGUGAAAGACGGUUUUGCUGUCACUUAUAGAUGGAUCCGCGCCGCAUUAGCUAGUUGGUAAGGUAACGGCUUACCAAGGCAACGAUGCGUAGCCGACCUGAGAGGGUGAUCGGCCACACUGGAACUGAGACACGGUCCAGACUCCUACGGGAGGCAGCAGUAGGGAAUCUUCCGCAAUGGGCGAAAGCCUGACGGAGCAACGCCGCGUGAGUGAUGAAGGUCUUCGGAUCGUAAAACUCUGUUAUUAGGGAAGAACAAAUGUGUAAGUAACUAUGCAUGUCUUGACGGUACCUAAUCAGAAAGCCACGGCUAACUACGUG